GACCUCGGAUCAGGUAGGAAUACCCGCUGAACUUAAGCAUAUCAAUAAGCGGAGGAAAAGAAACCAACAGGGAUUGCCUCAGUAACGGCGAGUGAAGCGGCAAAAGCUCAAAUUUGAAAUCUGACCCUUCGGGUCCGAGUUGUAAUUUGCAGAGGAUGUUUCGGGUAAGAUUUAGGUCUAAGUACCUUGGAACAGGACGUCAUAGAGGGUGAGAAUCCCGUACGUGACCGUUGAUCGCACCCAUGUGAAACUCCUUCGACGAGUCGAGUUGUUUGGGAAUGCAGCUCAAAAUGGGUGGUAAAUUUCAUCUAAAGCUAAAUAUUGGCCAGAGACCGAUAGCGCACAAGUAGAGUGAUCGAAAGAUGAAAAGCACUUUGAAAAGAGAGUUAAACAGUAUGUGAAAUUGUUGAAAGGGAAGCGCUUGUAACCAG
RNAcentral lists this ribosomal RNA (431 nucleotides) under uncultured fungus. RNAcentral's name for it is "eukaryotic LSU rRNA". It matches the Rfam family "Eukaryotic large subunit ribosomal RNA", at positions 1 to 432 of the family's 3401-position model. Lineage: Eukaryota; Fungi. The record is from RNAcentral.